RNAcentral lists this non-coding RNA (29 nucleotides) under Rattus norvegicus (Norway rat). The record is from RNAcentral. Lineage: Eukaryota; Metazoa; Chordata; Mammalia; Rodentia; Muridae.
UAGGAAUGAUCCUUCUCUUUCCUUCUUGC